AAGAAUUCAUAAGAAGCAAUGACAGAUACAGAAAAAGAAAAAGUGGAUAUGUAACAACAACGAAAGUCUACAGAUGUUUCAAUUGGAACAAAGAUGGUCAAAAAACAAAAGGAAUCUACAUAGCAGAAACCUUCCAAAAAUAUAGGAAAGAAUCCUUAGAAAACAUAAGGUCAUCCCAAGGAAUAGAAGAAAGAUUAAACAGAUCAAUCCAAGCUGAAGGAGCUUUUUCUAAAAUAAAGUCAGGACUAAACUACAACAGAUUCCACCAUAGAGGAAAAGAAAAUAUAAUAAGUGAAAUAUGUCUCUUAUCAAUAGCAUUAAACUUAAAUAAAUUAGCGUCAAAAAUAGAAAAUAAGAACUUAGAAAUCAUAAAAUACAAAGCUGCUUAAGAAAAAAAUUUUUAAAAAAGCGAGCUCUAUUAAUUGAA
Molecule: ribosomal RNA, 427 nt
Filed under: Anaerococcus tetradius ATCC 35098
Lineage: Bacteria; Bacillati; Bacillota; Tissierellia; Tissierellales; Peptoniphilaceae
Description: 23S ribosomal RNA
Source: RNAcentral